This 489-nucleotide ribosomal RNA is filed under the name uncultured bacterium. RNAcentral describes it as "partial 16S ribosomal RNA". It matches the Rfam family "Bacterial small subunit ribosomal RNA", at positions 30 to 507 of the family's 1533-position model. The record is from RNAcentral.
UUGAACGCUGGCGGCAGGCCUAACACAUGCAAGUCGCACGGUAACAGGAAGCAGCUUGCUGCUUUGCUGACGAGUGGCGGACGGGUGAGUAAUGUCUGGGAAACUGCCUGAUGGAGGGGGAUAACUACUGGAAACGGUAGCUAAUACCGCAUAACGUCGCAAGACCAAAGAGGGGGACCUUCGGGCCUCUUGCCAUCGGAUGUGCCCAGAUGGGAUUAGCUUGUUGGUGGGGUAACGGCUCACCAAGGCGACGAUCCCUAGCUGGUCUGAGAGGAUGACCAGCCACACUGGAACUGAGACACGGUCCAGACUCCUACGGGAGGCAGCAGUGGGGAAUAUUGCACAAUGGGCGCAAGCCUGAUGCAGCCAUGCCGCGUGUAUGAAGAAGGCCUUCGGGUUGUAAAGUACUUUCAGCGGGGAGGAAGGGAGUAAAGUUAAUACCUUUACUCAUUGACGUUACCCGCAGAAGAAGCACCGGCUAACUCCGUG